RNAcentral lists this microRNA precursor (93 nucleotides) under Prunus dulcis (almond). RNAcentral's name for it is "sRNA ncRNA". The record is from RNAcentral. Lineage: Eukaryota; Viridiplantae; Streptophyta; Magnoliopsida; Rosales; Rosaceae.
UACCAAUAACAGGUGAAACUGCCACAUGAUCUGAUCUUCCCUAACCAAAAUAGGGAGGUUAAGAUCAUGCUGGCAGCUUCAACUGCUACAAAU